CCUACGGGAGGCUGCAGUGAGGAAUAUUGGUCAAUGGGCGAGAGCCUGAACCAGCCAAGCCGCGUGAGGGAAGACGGUCCUACGGGUUGUAAACCUCUUUUGUCGGAGAACAAAGCCGGGGACUUGUCCCCGGAUGCGUGUACCCGAAGAAAAAGCAUCGGCUAACUCCGUGCCAGCAGCCGCGGUAAUACGGAGGAUGCGAGCGUUAUCCGGAUUUAUUGGGUUUAAAGGGUGCGCAGGCGGUCUGUUAAGUCAGCGGUAAAAGCCCGGGGCUCAACCCCGUCGCGCCGUUGAAACUGGCAGUCUUGAGUUGGAGAGAAGUACGCGGAAUGCGCGGUGUAGCGGUGAAAUGCAUAGAUAUCGCGCAGAACUCCGAUUGCGAAGGCAGCAUGCCGGCGCCAGACUGACGCUGAGGCACGAAAGCGUGGGGAUCGAACAGGAUUAGAUACCCGGGUAGUC
Molecule: ribosomal RNA, 459 nt
Filed under: uncultured bacterium
Lineage: Bacteria
Description: partial 16S ribosomal RNA
Rfam family: Bacterial small subunit ribosomal RNA
Source: RNAcentral